This 1972-nucleotide ribosomal RNA is filed under the name human gut metagenome. Its description in RNAcentral is "bacterial LSU rRNA". It matches the Rfam family "Bacterial large subunit ribosomal RNA", at positions 3 to 1984 of the family's 2925-position model. The record is from RNAcentral.
UCAAGCUACAAAGAGCGCAAGGGGAAUGCCUUGGCACUGGGAGCCGACGAAGGACGUAGCGAUCUACGAUAAGCCACGGUGAGCCGAAAGCAGGCAUCGACCCGUGGAUUUCCGAAUGGGGCAACCUGGCUGAAUAGAACUCAGUCAACAUACGGUGAAUAAAAUAGUCGUAUGUAGGGAACCGCCUGAACUGAAACAUCUAAGUAGGGCGAGGAAAAGAAAUCAACCGAGAUUCCGCAAGUAGUGGCGAGCGAACGCGGAAGAGGCCAAACCGAGAGUAGUAAUACUUUCGGGGUUCGGACAGCGGACGGUAUGCUGAAGGUUAGCAGAAGGACAUGGGACGGUCCACCAAAGAGAGUGAAAGUCUCGUAUGCGAAAACUGAAAGCAGCCAGCUGAAUCCAGAGUACCGCCGGACACGUGAAACCCGGUGGGAAUAUGGGGGGACCAUCCUCCAAGCCUAAAUACUACCCAGUGACCGAUAGUGAAGAGUACUGUGAAGGAAAGGUGAAAAGAACCCCUGACGGGGAGUGAAAAGAACCUGAAACCUUGUGCUUACAAGCACCGAAAGCACAUCAACGUGUGAUGUGGUACCUUUUGUAGAAUGGUCCGGCGAGUGAAUGUAACUGGCGAGGUUAAGUUCUUAAGGAACGGAGCCGAAGCGAAAGCAAGUCUGAAUAGGGCGUCUUAGUCAGUUGUAUUCGACCCGAAACCGGGUGACCUAUCCAUGUCCAGGAUGAAGUUAAGGUAAAACUUGAUGGAGGUCCGAACCCACGGUCGUUGAAAUGCCCGGGGAUGAGAUGUGGAUAGCGGAGAAAUUCCAAUCGAACCCGGAUAUAGCUGGUUCUCUCCGAAAUAGCUUUAGGGCUAGCCUCGUAUUAGAUUACCGGAGGUAAAGCACUGAAUGGGCUAGGGGCCGAGAGGUUACUGAACCCUAUCAAACUUCAAAUGCCGGAAAAUGAUAGUCGGGAGUCAGACUGCGUGAGAUAAGUUUCGUAGUCGAAAGGGAAACAGCCCAGACCCACAGCUAAGGUCCCAAAGUACGGUUAAGUGGAAAAGGAUGUGGAGUUGCACAGACAACCAGGAUGUUGGCUUAGAAGCAGCCACUCAUUAAAAGAGUGCGUAAUAGCUCACUGGUCGAGUGACUCUGCGCCGAAAAUUUAACGGGGCUAAAUCGUACACCGAAGCUUGGGAAUAUCAGUUAUUCUUCAUGGACUUGCUAAGGUAAGACACCAUGGCACGGAGUGCCAUCAAAUUGUCCAGAAGGAUAAAGCGAGCUUGUGAAGAAUAACUGAUGUUGGUAGGAGAGCGUUGAAUGCGGGGUGAAGUCAGAGCGAAAGCGCUGGUGGACUGCAUUGAAGUGAGAAUGCCGGAAUGAGUAGCGAGAUUUAUGUGAGAAUCAUAAAGGCCGAAAGACUAAGGUUUCAGAAGGAAGGUUCGUCCGCUUCUGGUUAGCCGGGAGCUAAGGUGAGGCCGAAAGGCGUAGCCGAUGCACAUACGGUGGAGAUUCCGUAGCCGUCGAAAUAUUUAAGCAAAGGGACACUUAUGAAGGACAUGACCCGGGCGAUGGUAGCCCCGGGCGUAAGGGACUGAAAACAAGUAGGGAAGCAUGUUUGGAUUAAGGCGAGAAAAGCUUUGUGUAUAUAUGAGACGUCCGUACCGCAAACCGACACAGGUAGUCAGGAAGAGGAUUCUAAGGCCAACGGGAGAAGGGUAGUUAAGGAACUCGGCAAAUUGACCCCGUAACUUCGGGAUAAGGGGCGGUGCGUAAGCACCCGCAGUGAAUAGGUCCAGGCGACUGUUUAUCAAAAACACAGCUCUCUGCUAAAUCGAAAGAUGACGUAUAGGGGGUGACACCUGCCCGGUGCUGGAAGGUUAAGAGGAGGAGUGCAAGCUCCGAAUUGAAGCCCCAGUAAACGGCGGCCGUAACUAUAACGGUCCUAAGGUAGCGAAAUUCCUUGUCGGGUAAGUUCC